AUUGAACGCUGGCGGCAUGCCUUACACAUGCAAGUCGAACGGCAGCACGGAGCUUGCUCUGGUGGCGAGUGGCGAACGGGUGAGUAAUAUAUCGGAACGUACCCAAGAGUGGGGGAUAACGUAGCGAAAGUUACGCUAAUACCGCAUACGAUCUAAGGAUGAGAGCAGGGGAUCGCAAGACCUUGUGCUCCUGGAGCGGCCGAUAUCUGAUUAGCUAGUUGGUGGGGUAAAGGCCCACCAAGGCAACGAUCAGUAGCUGGUCUGAGAGGACGACCAGCCACACUGGAACUGAGACACGGUCCAGACUCCUACGGGAGGCAGCAGUGGGGAAUUUUGGACAAUGGGGGCAACCCUGAUCCAGCAAUGCCGCGUGAGUGAAGAAGGCCUUCGGGUUGUAAAGCUCUUUUGUCAGGGAAGAAAAGGCUGUGGCUAAUAUCCACGGCUCAUGACGGUACCUGAAGAAUAAGCACCGGCUAACUACGUGCCAGCAGCCGCCGUAA
Molecule: ribosomal RNA, 500 nt
Filed under: uncultured bacterium
Lineage: Bacteria
Description: partial 16S ribosomal RNA
Rfam family: Bacterial small subunit ribosomal RNA
Source: RNAcentral